GAGCGCCAAGGAUACCUGAAGAAGACACAGAACCAAUAGUGAAUCAGUAGAUUGUACUUUAAAAUUGUUCUGGGAAACUCGGAUGUAGAGUACGUCGGCUGAGGGAACAGAGACGUACAGGGUUGUAAUGAGAGGGACCCGAGACCCAGAACGAGCGCGCGUAUUGUUGGAUGAUUGGCAGUUGGGUAAGGUCACAAAUUGGAGUCAGAUUACUAACUUAAGUUUAUGAUGAUUUAGAAAUAAAAUAUCCAACAAUUUAUGGUGACCCCGGCGUGAUGCAAGAGAGGUAAAAGAAGUCCGGGACUUCGAGAAAAACCACAAGAGUCUGGGACUCGGGUCAGGGACCCACAUCCACACCAGGUGACGACCUGACAAAGAAGCCACGUGUCCGACCGUCUUUCCUCUUGGGCCCACAGUCAAACAAGUGUGUCUGCGCAGGUCACAGACAAGGCGGUUGCAGAUUCGUCAUCAGCAUCACCGGAGUCGGACAUCACUCCGUACGUCUACCUCCGGGUGCUCUCCCGGAAGUGGACUGAACCUCGCUGGAAAGGACCGUUUAGGGUUCUGGCUAGAACUUCACACGCCGUCCAAUUGGAAACUAAAGGACAAAAGUGGUACCAUUACUCACAGUUGCGCCCGGCCCCAGACUUAGUGCCUGCCAAUGAUGAGCUUAAAGUUGACCAACCGGACGGGCAGGUCAAGUGAGGGAAUGUGACGAUGGCGACAAUUGGAUCAAACUCGGACUCGAAAGUGUCUGAACAAAGAUGACGACGAUGCAAAUGUUUAACUUUAUUGACUAUUUUGCUUGCUGGCUUGUUUGUGUGGACUAUGUUGGCGUUUGAACAUAUGGUGCGGGAUGACAGAAGUGAUGGAGCGAAAGGAGAACGAGUGAUGGUGUAUCAUUCCUGUAAUGGAACGGUAUGGUAUGAAGCAGAGCAAGAUGGUGGUAAGACGCUGACACAGACACAACAACUACUGCUAAAUCUGAAGUGUAAACAACCGACACAGGUGAACGCUUGGGUGACAAUUUUCAAGUGACUCAACAAUGGCUUGAUUUGUUAGAUAAAUUGGACAAUUAUCAACCACGGUACCAGGACUGGCCCUUGUUACGCCCACAGGAACCUAGAAGGAGAAGAGAGGUAAAGUCAGAAAAUGAGUGGGAGAAAAAGGGCUACCAGCCUUGGAUAAUAGGCUGGGCAUACAAUAAUUCGGUGAGAGUAACAGUGGCUCCUAAUACAACUACCCAAGUAAAUAUACCAAUAAAAGCAUUGGAGGGUCUGCGCACGCUCAGUAACAAAAUGAAGGAGCACUCAGGUGUGGACACCAGUUGGUAUUCUGACUGGUUAAACGUCUUUGGUAAAUAUAAAAGCUUGAUUGCAUCAGUACUGAUUUAUAUCGCUGUGUUUGCUGCUGUUAUGGUGUUAUGUGGAUGUUGCUGUAUUCCAUGUAUCAGAUCAUUAACUGUUAAGACAAUUGAACGCACGUUGGGGCCACUCCCUGCGGGUGGCCAGUACGUGAUGAUCACUCAGAAGGACCCCCAGGAGGCGGAGACAGCUGUGGCCCUCCGGGAGUCCGGGAUGUGAGUAUGUGAAGGUGGCCUCAGGGACCUGAGGCCAUGAGGAGGGAAUGAAAUUUUCUACUAGAAUGACAUUUUUUACUGAUUUUUAAUUUUCUACUAAUUUUUAAUUUUUUGCUAAUUUUUAGCUUAUGGCUAUUGAUUUUUAACUCGUGUUUAACAAUAAAAUAAGCUGUUCGAGUGAUGACCUCAGAGGGAAUAAAGGAAUAUAAGAGUUUCAGCUUAAAGUAGUUCAUUAGAUGUUGCUACAUCCUGUGUAUGAAAGUGUGAGACUGUAAAGUGCUGAGCGUGUGACUGGUGGAACGAAACAGGGUAUGUGGUGCAAGAAUGGAAUGUUUUAGAACAGACGGUGCUAACUGCAAGGAGGAUGCGGAGACGGGAGGACUCGGAGGCAGUUGGUGGAAAAACUACUGUCAGGAAACCACCAGGAGGAGCCAGCACGCGAGUCUGCAGGGGAGGAGUCUGUCCAACAUCCGGCGGACCAAAGGAGACCAAUGAGAGAGCGCCAAGGAUACGUGGAGGAGACAGAACCAAUAGUGAAUCAGUAGAUUGUACUUUAAAAUUGUUCUGGGAAACUCGGAUGUAGAGUACGUCGGCUGAGGGAACAGAGACGUACAGGGUUGUAAUGAGAGGGACCCGAGACCCAGGUGUGUGUUGAAGGAAUAAAUCCACUCGUGUGUGAAAAUGCCGGCUUCCUGAUACCUUUCUAUUGCAGAACG
Molecule: long non-coding RNA, 2295 nt
Organism: Syngnathoides biaculeatus (alligator pipefish)
Lineage: Eukaryota; Metazoa; Chordata; Actinopteri; Syngnathiformes; Syngnathidae
Exons: 3
Source: RefSeq, a predicted model, not a curated record